GAUGAAGAACGUAGCGAAAUGCGAUAAGUAAUGUGAAUUGCAGAAUUCAGUGAAUCAUCGAAUCUUUGAACGCACAUUGCGCCCGCCAGUAUUCUGGCGGGCAUGCCUGUUCGAGCGUCAUUACAACCCUCAGGCCCCCGGGCCUGGCGUUGGGGAUCGGCGGAAGCCCCCUGCGGGCACAACGCCGUCCCCCAAAUACAGUGGCGGUCCCGCCGCAGCUUCCAUCGCGUAGUAGCUAACACCUCGCGACUGGAGAGCGGCGCGGCCACGCCGUAAAACACCCAACUCUUCUGAAGUUGACCUCGAAUCAGGUAGGAAUACCCGCUGAACUUAAGCAUAUCAAUAAGCGGAGGA
Molecule: unclassified non-coding RNA, 354 nt
Filed under: soil metagenome
Description: partial contains 5.8S ribosomal RNA, internal transcribed spacer 2, and large subunit ribosomal RNA
Rfam family: 5.8S ribosomal RNA (bases 1-120)
Source: RNAcentral